This 402-nucleotide ribosomal RNA is filed under the name bacterium. RNAcentral's name for it is "partial 16S ribosomal RNA". It matches the Rfam family "Bacterial small subunit ribosomal RNA", at positions 355 to 776 of the family's 1533-position model. The record is from RNAcentral.
UGGGGAAUUUUGCACAAUGGGGGAAACCCUGAUGCAGCGACGCCGCGUGAUUUAGAAGGCCUUCGGGUUGUAAAAAUCUUUUCUAUGGGAAGAAAAUGACAGUACCAUAGGAAUAAGGACCGGCUAAUUACGUGCCAGCAGCCGCGGUAAUACGUAAGGUCCGAGCGUUGUCCGGAAUCAUUGGGCGUAAAUGGUACGUAGGCGGGUAAGCAAGUUAGAAGUGAAAUCCUAUAGCUCAACUAUAGUAAGCUUUUAAAACUGCUCAUCUUGAGGUAUGGAAGGGAAAGUGGAAUUCCUAGUGUAGCGGUGAAAUGCGCAGAUAUUAGGAGGAAUACCGGUGGCGAAGGCGACUUUCUGGCCAUAACCUGACGCUGAGGUACGAAAGCGUGGGUAGCAAACAGG